UUCGGAUUGUAGGCUGAAACUCGCCUACAUGAAGCUGGAAUUGCUAGUAAUCACAGGUCAGCAUACUGUGGUGAAUACGUUCCCGGGCCUUGUACACACCGCCCGUCACACCAUGAGAGUUGAGAAUACCCGAAGCCCAUGUCAAAGUGGUCGAAGGUAGGCUUGAUGAUUGGGGUGAAGUCGUAACAAGGUACC
This 195-nucleotide ribosomal RNA is filed under the name uncultured bacterium. Its description in RNAcentral is "partial 16S ribosomal RNA". It matches the Rfam family "Bacterial small subunit ribosomal RNA", at positions 1292 to 1500 of the family's 1533-position model. The record is from RNAcentral.